GACGAACGCUGGCGGCGUGCUUAACACAUGCAAGUCGAACGAAGAGCGACGGAAGCUUGCUUCUAUCAAUCUUAGUGGCGAACGGGUGAGUAACGCGUAAUCAACCUGCCCUUCAGAGGGGGACAACAGUUGGAAACGACUGCUAAUACCGCAUACGAUCUAACCUCGGCAUCGAGGAUAGAUGAAAGGUGGCCUCUACAUGUAAGCUAUCACUGAAGGAGGGGAUUGCGUCUGAUUAGCUAGUUGGCGGGGUAACGGCCCACCAAGGCGAUGAUCAGUAGCCGGUCUGAGAGGAUGAACGGCCACAUUGGGACUGAGACACGGCCCAGACUCCUACGGGAGGCAGCAGUGGGGAAUCUUCCGCAAUGGACGAAAGUCUGACGGAGCAACGCCGCGGGAGUGAUGACGGCCUUCGGGUUGUAAAGCUCUGUUAAUCGGGACGAAAGGCCUUCUUGCGAAUAGUGAGAAGGAUUGACGGUACCGGAAUAGAAAGCCACGGCUAACUACGUG
Molecule: ribosomal RNA, 510 nt
Filed under: uncultured bacterium
Lineage: Bacteria
Description: partial 16S ribosomal RNA
Rfam family: Bacterial small subunit ribosomal RNA
Source: RNAcentral